AUUGAACGCUGGCGGAAUGCUUUACACAUGCAAGUCGAACGGCAGCACGGACUUCGGUCUGGUGGCGAGUGGCGAACGGGUGAGUAAUACAUCGGAACGUGCCCAGUCGUGGGGGAUAACGUAGCGAAAGCUACGCUAAUACCGCAUACGAUCUACGGAUGAAAGCGGGGGAUCGCACGACCUCGCGCGAUUGGAGCGGCCGAUGGCAGAUUAGGUAGUUGGUGGGGUAAAGGCCUACCAAGCCGACGAUCUGUAGCUGGUCUGAGAGGACGACCAGCCACACUGGGACUGAGACACGGCCCAGACUCCUACGGGAGGCAGCAGUGGGGAAUUUUGGACAAUGGGCGCAAGCCUGAUCCAGCCAUUCCGCGUGCAGGAUGAAGGCCCUCGGGUUGUAAACUGCUUUUGUACGGAACGAAAAGGCUCUGGUUAAUACCUGGGGCUCAUGACGGUACCGUAAGAAUAAGCACCGGCUAACUACGUGCCAGCAGCCGCCGUAA
This 500-nucleotide ribosomal RNA is filed under the name uncultured bacterium. Its description in RNAcentral is "partial 16S ribosomal RNA". It matches the Rfam family "Bacterial small subunit ribosomal RNA", at positions 30 to 523 of the family's 1533-position model. The record is from RNAcentral.